Long non-coding RNA from Salvelinus fontinalis (brook trout), 5275 nucleotides. RefSeq lists it as uncharacterized. Lineage: Eukaryota; Metazoa; Chordata; Actinopteri; Salmoniformes; Salmonidae. The transcript has 3 exons. The record is from RefSeq and is a predicted model, not a curated record.
UGAUUAUUAGAAAACCAUUUUUCAAUUAUGUUAGCACAGCUGAAAACUGUUGUGCUGGUUAAAGAAGCAAUACUACUGGUCUUCUUUAGACUAGUUGAGUAUCUCGAGCAUCAGCAUUUGUGGGUUAGAUUACAGAAUCAAAAUGGCCAGAAACAAAGAACUUUCUUCUGAAACUCAUCAGUCUAUUCUUGGUCUGAGAAAUUAAGGUUAUUCCAUGGGAGAAAUUGCCAAGAAGAAGAAGAAGACAGACACUGGACAGAGGAAGAUUAGAAAAAGGUGUUAUGGAUAGACAAAUCUAAGUUUUGAGGUGGUCGGAUCACAAAAAAGAAUGUGAGAUGCAGAAAAAAUGUGAAGAUGCUGGAGGAGUGCUUGAUGCCAUCUGUCAAGCAUGGUGGAGGCAAUGUGAUGGUCUGGGGGUGUGUUGGUGGUGGUAAAGUGAGAGAUUUGUACAGGGUAAAAGGGAUCUUGAAGAAGGACGGCUAUCACUCCAUUUUGCAACGCCAUGCCCUACCCUGUGGACGGCGCUUAAUUGGAGCCAAUUUUCUUCCUAUAACAGGACAGUGACCCAAAGCACAGCUCCAAACGAUGCAUUAACUAUUUAGGGAAGAAGCAGUCAGCUGGUAUUCUGUCUGUGCUGAACACUCCAUUAUAGUCACCGGAUCUCAACCCAAUUGAGCUGUUGUGGGAGCAGCUUGACCGUAUGGUAAGUAAGAAGUGCCCAUCAAGCCAAUCCAACUUGUGGGAGUUACUUCAGGAAGCAUGGGGUGAAAUCUCUUCAGAUUACCUCAACAAAUUGACAACUAGAAUGCCAAAGGUCUGCAAGGUUGUAAUUGCUGCAAAUGGAGGAUUCUUUGACGAAAGCAAAGUUUGAAGGACACAAUUAUUAUUUCAAUUAAAAAUCAUUAUUUUUAACCUUGUCAACAUCUUGACUAUAUUUCCUAUUCAUUUUUCAACUAAUUUCAAGUACGUUUUCAUGGAAAACAAGAAUUUCUCAGUGACUUCAAACUGUUGAACAGACGUGUAUGUAUGUACAGUUGAAGUCUGAUGUUUACAUGCACCUUAGCCAAAUACAUUUAAACUCAGUUUUUCACAAUUCCUGACAUUUAAUCCCAGUAAAAAUUCCCUGUCUUAAGUCAGUUAGGAUCACCACUUUAUUUUAAGAAUGUGAAAUGACAGAAUAAUAGUAGAGUGAUUUAUUUCAGCUUUUAUUUCUUUCAUCACAUUCCCAGUGGGUCAGAAGUUUACAUACACUCAAUUAGUAUUUGGUAGCAUUGCCUUUAAUUUCUUUAACUUGGGUCAAAUGUUUCAGGUAGCCUUCCACAAGCUUCCCACAAUACUUUGGGAGAAUUUUGGCCCAUUUUUCCUGACAGCUGGUGUAACUGAGUCAGGUUUGUAGGCCUCCUUGCUCACACACGCUUUUUCAGUUCUGCCCACAAAUGUUCUGUAGGAUUGAGGUCAGGGCUUUGUGAUGGCCACUCCAAUACCUUGACUUUGUUGUCCUUAAGCCAUUUUGCCACAACUUUGGAAGUAUGCUUGGGGUCAUUGUCCAUUUGGAAGACCCAUUUGUGACCAAGCUUUAACUUCCUGACUGAUGUCUUGAGAUGUUGCUUCAAUGUAUCCACAUAAUUGUCCUUCCACAUAAUUGUCCUUCCUCAUGAUGCCAUCUAUUUUGUGAAGUGCACCAGUCCCUCCUGCAGCAAAGCAUCCCCACAACAUGAUGCUGCCACCCCCGUUCUUCACGGUUGGGAUGGUGUUCUUCGGCUUGCAGGCGUCCCCCUUUAUCCUCCAAACAUAACAAUGGUCAUUAUGGUCAAACAGUUCUACUUUUGUUUCAUCAGAUCAGAGGACAUUUCUCCAAAAAGUAUAAUCUCUGUCCCCCAUGUAUAGUUGCAAACCGUAGUCUGGCUUUUUUAUGGCGGUUUUGGAGCAGUGGCUUCUUCCUUGCUGAGCGGCCUUUCAGGUUAUGUCAAUAUAGGACUCGUUUUACUGUGGAUAAAGAUAGUUUUGCACCUGUUUCCUCCAGCAUCUUCACAAGGUCCUUUGCUGUUGUUCUGGGAUUGAUUUGCACAUUUCGCACCAAAGUACGUUCAUCUCUAGGAGACAGAACGUGUCUCCUUCCUGAGGGGUAUGACGGCUGCGUGGUCCCAUGGAGUUUAUACUUGCGUACUAUUGUUUGUACAGAUGAACGUUGUACCUUCAGGCAUUUGGAAAUUGCUCCCAAGGAUGAACCAAACUUGUGGAGGUAUACAAUUGUUUUCUGAGGUCUUGGCUGAUUUCUUUAGAUUUGCCCCUGAUGUCAAGCAAAGAGGCACUGAGUUUGAAGGUAGGCCUUGAAAUAGAUCCACAGGUACACCUCCAAUUGACUCAAAUGAUGUCAAUUAUCCUAUCAGAAGCCUAAAGCCAUUACAAUUUUUCUGGAUUUUACCAAGCUGUUUAUUAAAUGCUCAGUCAACUUAGUGUAUGUAAACUUCUGACCCACUGGAAUUGUGAUACAGUGGAAUAUUCUGUCUGUAAACAAUUGUUGGAAAAAUUCCUUGUGUCAUGCACAAAGUAGAUGUCCUAACCGACUUGCCAAAACUAUAGUUUGCAAAAUAAGAAUUUUGUGGAGUGGUUGAAAAAUGAGUUUUCAUGACUCCAACCUAAGUUUAUGUACACUUCCGACUUCAACUGUACGUAUGUAUGCGCACCCAUCUCAUAAUCCAUUGCGGUGGCCAAGCAUAAAUAUGCAUUUAGUCUAGAUCUGAAAAUGUGGUCGGAGGGUGUGACACAAUUUGCGGAGCCUCCAGAGGCAUGAAGAGGCCAAUAAAAGCUCCAUUCUGCAUCCCAAAUUUUUUGCAACAUUGAAGGUCCCCAAUAACACAGUGGCCUUCAUUUUUAAAUGGAAUAAGUUUGGAACCUCGUCCGCUUCCAGCCAACCUGAGCAUUCGGUGAAGGGCCUUGGUCAGGGAGGUGACCAAGAACCCGAUGGUCACUCUGAUAGAGCUCCAGAGUUCCUCUGUGGAGAUGGGAGAACUUUCCAGAAGGACAACCAUCUUUGCCGCACUCCACCAAUCAGGCCAUUACAAAAGCACAUGACAGCCUGUUUGAAGUUUGCCAAAAGGCACCUAAAGACUCAAAUCAUGAGAAACAAGAUUUUCUGGUCUAUUGAAACCAAGAUUGAACUCUUUGGCCUGAGUGCCAAGCGUCACGUCUUGAGGAAACAUGGCACCAUCCCUAUGGUGACGCUUGUUGAUGGUAGCAAAGUACAGAGACAUCCUUGAUGGAAAACCUGCUCCAGAGCAUCCGUACACAGCCAAGACAACGCAGGAGUGGCUUCGGGACAAGUCUCUGAAUGUCCUUAAGUGGCCCAGCCAAUGCCCGGACUUGAACAUCCCUAGGGAAACCUGAAAAUAGCUGUGCAGCGACGCUCCCCAUGCAACCUGACAGCGUUUGAGAAGAUCUGCAGAGAAGGAUGAGAGAAACUCCCCAAAUACAGGUGUGCCAAGCUUGUAGCAUAAUUUGUUUUUGCUUUGUCUUUAUGGGGAUUUGUGUGUAGAUUGUUGAGGGGAUUUUUUUUUAACAGAUUUUAGAAUGAGGCUGUUACGUAACAAAAUGUAUUAAAGUCAAGGGGUCUGAAUACUUCUGAAGGCUGUGUAUGUGUGUGCACACUGGGCAAAAAUAUAAACGCAACAUGGAAAAAGAUGCAAGCAACAUUGGCGAGUCUGGGCACUGAUGGGUGACCUUAUUUUGCAAGGCAGCAGGCAACGACAUGCAGAGUUGAUCCAAUCCUCAUCAGUUUGGGCAAGUCCAAGGGUCUGAAAGUGUAAACCCCACCCACCGGGUGCAAAUUAGUCAUCCUCUCUUUUCCCAAGCGUGUCCGAAAUUGCACAAUCCUGUCCGAUAUCGCUCUACCACAUCCACCUCUUGAUGAGGACGUAACACCUUUGGCUGUAUAUAAAAUACGUGCUUUUUUCUUUUCUCAGAAUUGAAGGCUCCAUCAUACCGGAUUAAAUGUCUGUUAUGUUUACCAAAAGUUCAGGAAACACUAGCGUUCAAGAACUCAUGGUCGACCCUAAAAAAACACCAUUGAGAGAAAGCAUGUACACCAUCUUAAGAAGUAUGGAGAACUGACGGCAAUCACACUGAAGAGAACAUCCCCCAAAGACUCCCUCCACCAUCAAGCAGAACACAUUAGUGAUGACAGUCUCAAAAAUGAUUCGAAGCGGUGGUGAAGUAUGUGGGCUCCAACCAUUGGCUGUUGUAGUACAAGAACCGUUAAGAGUUUGUCCAGGAUCUGCAGCCUAACUCGAAGAUCUUCAAGACCCACACUACGCUCCAGGAUUGAUGAAGCUACCAAGGAAAUGAAGGUGACUGAGGCCAUGAGAGGAGUUGAGCACAUCACCACCACCAACUGAUGGUCUGCAAGAAGACUGAGCUUCAUUGGUGUUACAGCCCAUUGGAUAGACCCUGACAGUCUCAACAGAUGCUCAGCAGCCCUGGCCUGUAAAAGAUUCAGAGGAUCACAAACCUUUGAUGUGUUGGCAGGCGCUCUAAAUCCAUUCUGAGUUUGAAAUCCGGGUCAAGAUUUUGAGAACAGACAACGGCUAUAAUUCCUUAAACUUUCCGAGUUUUUGUAGAAGAUGAAAACAACGAGACAGUAGAAGCAGUGGGUGGUGAAGCAGCAGCUCAGCCAGGACAGGAAGGGGAACAAGAGGAGAGUGAAGAAGUCAAAUUUGUUGAGGUGGCAGCGAUCCUGAAUGACGAUGGUUUUGAGUACCAGCUGCCGAAGCACCAGCGCUGUGCUUGCCACCUGCUCAACUUAGGAUCUACAGUCGAUGCCCUGAAAGCAACAUCUGGUGAGGCUUACAAAAGUGUCCCGAUAAGCAUUUGGCAAGUGCCAAGCACUUUGGAACAUACGGAAGAUGUUCCAAGGUGGAACUCCUGGUUCAUGGCUGUAGAAAUACUCCUGAGGAUCUUCAAAGACAAAGGAUAGGCGGCCGUCAGAGUUCUCUGCACAAUGUUCAAACCAGCUGAACUCGUCUUCGUCAUAGAGUUUGCUGCCACCAUGAGCCCAGUCGCAAAGGCCAUCAACAUCCUGCAGGCUGAAACCAAUGUCCAGAUGGAGUGGCUACUUCCAACUAUCCACCAGCUGAUCACAAAACUUGACUGAAUCAAGUUGUCCCUGAAGUACUGUAAGCCUCUGGUGGAUGCUACAACUGGGACUGAAUCAAGUUGUCCCUGAAGUACUGUACGCCUCUGGUGGAUGCUACAACUGGGACUGAAUCAAGUUGUCCCU